RNAcentral lists this ribosomal RNA (468 nucleotides) under uncultured bacterium. RNAcentral's name for it is "partial 16S ribosomal RNA". It matches the Rfam family "Bacterial small subunit ribosomal RNA", at positions 28 to 507 of the family's 1533-position model. The record is from RNAcentral.
GACGAACGCUGGCGGCGUGCUUAACACAUGCAAGUCGAACGGAAAGGCCCUGCUUUUGUGGGGUGAUCGAGUGGCGAACGGGUGAGUAACACGUGAGUAACCUGCCCUUGACUUUGGGAUAACUUCAGGAAACUGGGGCUAAUACCGGAUAGGAGCUCCUUCUGCAUGGUGGGGGUUGGAAAGUUUCGGCUGUUGGGGAUGGACUCGCGGCUUAUCAGCUUGUUGGUGGGGUAGUGGCUUACCAAGGCUUUGACGGGUAGCCGGCCUGAGAGGGUGACCGGCCACAUUGGGACUGAGAUACGGCCCAGACUCCUACGGGAGGCAGCAGUGGGGAAUAUUGCACAAUGGGCGGAAGCCUGAUGCAGCAACGCCGCGUGCGGGAUGACGGCCUUCGGGUUGUAAACCGCUUUCGCAUGUGACGAAGCGUGAGUGACGGUAAUGGGUAAAGAAGCACCGGCUAACUACGUG